Molecule: ribosomal RNA, 401 nt
Filed under: uncultured bacterium
Lineage: Bacteria
Description: bacterial SSU rRNA
Rfam family: Bacterial small subunit ribosomal RNA
Source: RNAcentral
GGGCCCGCACAAGCGGUGGAGCAUGUGGUUUAAUUCGAUGAUACGCGAGGAACCUUACCAAGGCUUAAAUGUAGAGGGACAGGCGGCGAAAGUUGCCCUUCUUCGGACUCUCUACAAGGUGCUGCAUGGUUGUCGUCAGCUCGUGCCGUGAGAUGUUGGGUUAAGUCCCGCACGAGCGCAACCCCUAUCUCUAGUUGCCAGCGGAUAAUGCCGGGGACUCUAGAGAAACUGCCCGUGCAAACGGUGAGGAAGGUGGGGAUGACGUCAAAUCAUCACGGCCCUUACGUCCUGGGCUACACACGUGCUACAAUGGUCGGUACAGAGGGCAGCUACCACGUGAGUGGAUGCAAAUCUCGAAAGCCGAUCUCAGUUCGGAUUGGGGUCUGCAACUCGACCCCAUG